This 221-nucleotide non-coding RNA is filed under the name Clostridiales bacterium. Its description in RNAcentral is "T-box sequence". It matches the Rfam family "T-box leader". Rfam says of the family: Uncharged tRNA acts as the effector for transcription antitermination of genes in the T-box leader family. The record is from RNAcentral. Lineage: Bacteria; Bacillati; Bacillota; Clostridia; Eubacteriales.
GUUAAAGCAUUGAAGAAGGAAAGUAGUUUUCAAAAGUCUUUUAGAGAGAAAACGGGUGGUGAAAGUUUUCAGACGUUUGUCAAUGAAGUGCCCUUCGGAGCAGUAUACCGAAUUAAGUAGGCUAUACCGGGUUCUCCCGAUACAGAGAUAGAGUACAUCGUACUUGAAGGUGGAUCUUUGAUCAAUUAGAGUGGAACCGCGGAGUUUACUUCGUCUCUUAG